This 672-nucleotide ribosomal RNA is filed under the name Inocybe glabrescens. Its description in RNAcentral is "eukaryotic LSU rRNA". It matches the Rfam family "Eukaryotic large subunit ribosomal RNA", at positions 1 to 653 of the family's 3401-position model. Lineage: Eukaryota; Fungi; Basidiomycota; Agaricomycetes; Agaricales; Inocybaceae. The record is from RNAcentral.
UUGACCUCAAAUCAGGUAGGACUACCCGCUGAACUUAAGCAUAUCAAUAAGCGGAGGAAAAGAAACUAACAAGGAUUCCCCUAGUAACUGCGAGUGAAGCGGGAAGAGCUCAAAUUUGUAAUCUGGCAGUUCUUGAACUGUCCGAGUUGUAAUCUAGAGAAGUGUUACCUGUGCUGGACCAUGUACAAGUCUCCUGGAAUGGAAGCAUCACAGAGGGUGAGAAUCCCGUCUUUGACAUGGACUGCCUGCACGUUAUGGUGCGCUCUCAAAGAGUCGAGUUGUUUGGGAAUGCAGCUCAAAAUGGGUGGUAAAUGCCAUCUAAAGCUAAAUAUUGGCGAGAGACCGAUAGCGAACAAGUACCGUGAGGGAAAGAUGAAAAGUACUUUGGAAAGAGAGUUAAACAGUACGUGAAAUUGCUGAAAGGGAAACGCUUGAAGUCAGUCGCGUCGGCUAGAAAUCAGCCUUGCUUUUGCUUGGUGUACUUUCUGGUUUGACGGGUCAGCAUCAAUUUCGAUCAUUGGAUAAAGUCAUCGGGAAUGUGGCAUCUUAGGAUGUGUUAUAGCCCAGUGUCGCAUACAGUGGUUGGGAUUGAGGAACUCACCACGCCGCAAGGCCGGGUUUCGACCACGUUCGUGCUUAGGAUGCUGGCAUAAUGGCUUUAAUCGACCCGUC